RNAcentral lists this ribosomal RNA (406 nucleotides) under uncultured bacterium. RNAcentral's name for it is "partial 16S ribosomal RNA". It matches the Rfam family "Bacterial small subunit ribosomal RNA", at positions 29 to 526 of the family's 1533-position model. The record is from RNAcentral.
AUUGAACGCUGGCGGCAGGCCUAACACAUGCAAGUCGAACGAGUGGCGGACGGGUGAGUAAUGUCUGGGAAACUGCCUGAUGGAGGGGGAUAACUACUGGAAACGGUAGCUAAUACCGCAUACCAUCAGAUGUGCCCAGAUGGGAUUAGCUAGUUGGUGGGGUAAAGGCUCACCAAGGCGACGAUCCCUAGCUGGUCUGAGAGGAUGACCGGCCACACGGGAACUGAGACACGGUCCAGACUCCACCGGGAGGAAGCGGAGGGGAAUUUUGCACAAGGGGCGCAAGCCGGACACAGCCAUGCCGCGUGUAUGAAGAGGGCCUUCGGGUUGUAAAGUACGUUCAGCGGGGAGGCGGUACCCGCAGAAGAAGCACCGGCUAACUCCGUGCCAGCAGCCGCGGUAAUAC